UUUUGUUUGAAUUUUGUAAAAGCUGAAAGGUUGUUUGAUUGUAUGCUUAUCCAAGACGUGCUUCCUAUAUCUUCCCAUAGAGCUCUAGCCUUUGAUAAGGCCCAUGAUAAGAUGAAGAAAAAGAAGGAUGGAGUUAAAAGGAGAAAGUAUUCAAGAAGCACCUGAGAUAGUGAUGGCGAUAUUUCAAAUGACAAUGGUACUUGUGUUGAAGUAAAGACCAUGAUAUGGCUGAUGACUUAUAUUAUGUAUUUUAUUGUUGGUUUCAAACAUGCACACAGUAUACCUGUUUUGUUACCAACUCAACGCCUUAGAAUCUUGUUAGCAUCUCAAUAUGUUUAGAGGUGUUAGGAUGCUUAUGUUAGCUUUUGGGAUAUAUACUUAGUGUAUUUAUUGGAUGUAACCUAACUUAUUGAUCAAUGAAAUGUGAUUAACCAAA
Molecule: long non-coding RNA, 436 nt
Organism: Pyrus x bretschneideri (Chinese white pear)
Lineage: Eukaryota; Viridiplantae; Streptophyta; Magnoliopsida; Rosales; Rosaceae
Exons: 2
Source: RefSeq, a predicted model, not a curated record